This 544-nucleotide long non-coding RNA is filed under the name Heterocephalus glaber (naked mole-rat). RNAcentral's name for it is "lncRNA (ENSHGLG00000045768.1)". The record is from RNAcentral. Lineage: Eukaryota; Metazoa; Chordata; Mammalia; Rodentia; Bathyergidae.
UUGGGCUUUUCGUUGGCCAUAGCGAGCACCUGAGUCUUCUCAGCUACCGCUUCACAAAAGAGGUACCAGGUCCGCACCAAACAAGCAAACAAGCAGCUCCAUGAGCAGCAGAAGGAGGUGGCAGUGGUGGCCGAGGGAGAGGGCACGUGCACGUCAUGCACUUCUUUCCCGCCUGAAUCUUGGUUUUGCCGUCUGCUAGUGUUGUCUUGGGAAAGUUUCUCAACUUUGAAUGGCUGAACUGGAGGUGCCCAAUAAAUAUAUUGUGAGUGAAUGCUGUUCCUGUGCACACAGCGCCACUGGGAGACAGAAUAGCUGGUCUCAUGGCCAUGGACAGGCUAGAGGAAAGAGUAGGUUCUGAGGUUUGCAUUUGGUGAGAGUAUGUUGCCCUCCACAUGGCAAAGAUUCAGGAAUGAAUAAAGACAAGGAAAGGAAUGAGCAGAAAUGAAAAUCAUUAUUGAGAGAAACUUGGGCAUCUGCUGUCAGAAUGAAAAGAAAAAGCCUCCAUCAACACAUGAAAGGAAGUCCAGACUGAGGGAAGGAAGAG